Molecule: transfer RNA, 72 nt
Filed under: Anaerolineae bacterium
Lineage: Bacteria; Bacillati; Chloroflexota; Anaerolineae
Also listed under: 1 other name
Description: tRNA-Lys
Rfam family: tRNA
About the family: Transfer RNA (tRNA) molecules are approximately 80 nucleotides in length. Their secondary structure includes four short double-helical elements and three loops (D, anti-codon, and T loops).
Source: RNAcentral
GGGCGCGUAGCUCAACGGCAGAGCAGGGGCCUUUUAAGCCUUUGGUUGGGGGUUCGAAUCCCUCCGCGCUCA